CAGAUCCCAAAACAGUUCACUGUUACAUGGGGCAGACAAUGAUACAUGUUCACCAUCUACCUCCAGGCUGUGUUCUCUCUCCUGCUCUCUGUCAUAAUAAAGGCUGCAGGAACUGGACCAUCCGGACCUCGGUAAAACAUCACAUUGGUCUGUUCUGUUAGUGAAGUAGGGUUUGUAGGACUGGAUAAAGAGGAUGUGGCUCUAUAGAGUAAGAGAUAAACCCUACAAGGAUGCAAGGACUCUAGAAGACAGGCUAUUCAGCCUAUUAAGUUUCAGGGGCUCACCACAUUGGUGUGGUUUUGAAGGAGCGGUCUGGGGCCUGCUGAGAUAGUCCCUGCAAAGUAAGGAACAUGUGAUCGCAUCUUGUACCUCUCACCAUUCAGAAGGAAGCGCAAUACCUGGUAAAUUUCUGCAGGCAGGAGUCAGCAUAUUUUACCCUAGUGCAGCCUAUUUUCUGAAUGACAUGGAAGGCUGUCAUUUCCUGAGCAGAUCCUCGUGGAAAAGGGCUCUGUAGUAGAUCCAGGCCGGACUGCCGGCUUCUCUGCCUUCCAGGUCAUAUGGCCCAGAAGACCCUAUGGUAUUAUAUGUAUCUGUGGCGGCAAAAGGUACCACAUGUUUAUGGCAAGCCCAGUGAAAUAAACACGAUCAGGACCCCUAGUGUUCUGGAGCAGAGCCAUUCAAUCAGCAACAGAGAAUUAUCGCCUUUUGAGAAUCUCCUUUUGGGGUGGGCACUGGUAGAGACCUGACCGUGGAACAUGAAGUGAUCCUGUAGCCGGAAUGGCCCAUUACAAGCUGGGAUCUGUCAGACCCCCCCAGGUCAUAAUGUCAGGUGGACUCGACAGCAAUCCAAAGUAAGGUGGUGCAUUUGGGAUCAGGCACAAGCAGGGCCAGAGGUCACAAAUAAGCUGCACAGGCAGGUGGCCUAGAACCCAUGUCAUCCACCAACGUUCCACCAACACCUCUCCUCCAUCUCACACCCACUGCUGCAUGAGGCUCCCUUCUGGCCAGCUGACAAGGAGGGAGAAGGCCACGCACGAUUCACAGACAGGUCUGUUUGGUAGGUGGGGAUAAGCUGAAAAUGGAGGACAGGGACAUUACAGCCUCACCCAGAGGUGACCUUUAAGACAAGAAUGAGGUGAAUCCUCCCAAUGGGUAGGGCUUGGGGCAGUGCACUCGGGCAUCCAUUCUGUGGACAAGAGAAGUAGCCUGAGGUAAGAAUAAAUAAAGACGAUGGGCAGUGGCAAAAACAGGAAGGAUAAAUAUUGAAAGACUGGGGACAAGGCAGUCUGGGAAAGAGGAUUGUGUGUGGGCCCAUGGAAAGGGGGACAGAGUGUGAAGAUCUUGCAUCAUAUGUUGACACCAGAAAGUAUCCAUCGUGGAAGAGGUACUAAACAACCAAGCGGGCAGCAUGACUCAGCCAGGUCAUCAGUCAGUCUGUGCCACCAGCUGUGGCAUAAUAGGCUCACAAUGAAGAAGCCAUGUGGCAGGAAUAGAGGUCCUGCAUUCACUAAAAGUGAUGUAGCUACUGCCACUGCUGAGUGUCCAAUUCUCCAGCAACAAAGGUCAACAUGGAGACAUCAGUGUGACACCAGCCUUCAAAGAGCCCCACCAGCCAUUUGGUGGCAAGAUAAUUAAAUUGGACCUCUUCUACAUAGAAGAAGAAGUAAUUCAUCUCGACUGGGACACAUAUUCCUGAUAAGAAGAAGAGGAGUCACCCUCCUGGCAAGUGAAUUGACUGCAACAUCAGAUGGAAGCAGAGCUGUUGUUACAGAAAGGACAGAGAGAAAUACAUUUGACUCUGGAGGUGACCCACUUGUGCGUUUCUUGAUGGCAAAUAGAUGCAGCAACCAUGAGGAAGAUGAGCACGGUGACCAGGGUCUUGGACCUCUUAGAGAUGGAGGUCUGGGCCAUCUCGCUAGUUUCCAGACUUGACUGGAAGAAGUCACUGCAGCUGUGGUGGAAACAGCAGGAGAACCAGAAUUAGAAGUGGAGCCUGAAGAUAUGAUGGAAUUGCUGGAAUCUCAUGAUCACACUUGAACAGAUGAGGAGUUGCUUCUUAUGGAUGAGCAAAGAAAGUAGUUUCUUGGUGGAGAUGCUGUGAAGACUGUUGA
Long non-coding RNA from Lynx canadensis (Canada lynx), 2111 nucleotides. RefSeq lists it as uncharacterized. The record is from RefSeq and is a predicted model, not a curated record. The transcript has 3 exons. Lineage: Eukaryota; Metazoa; Chordata; Mammalia; Carnivora; Felidae.